RNAcentral lists this ribosomal RNA (477 nucleotides) under uncultured bacterium. RNAcentral's name for it is "partial 16S ribosomal RNA". It matches the Rfam family "Bacterial small subunit ribosomal RNA", at positions 28 to 506 of the family's 1533-position model. The record is from RNAcentral.
GAUGAACGCUGGCGGCGUGCUUAACACAUGCAAGUCGAACGGGAAACCUUUUAUUGAAGCUUCGGCAGAAUUAGCUGGUUUCUAGUGGCGGACGGGUGAGUAACGCGUGGGUAACCUGCCUUAUACAGGGGGAUAACAGUCAGAAAUGGCUGCUAAUACCGCAUAAGAGCACAGCGCUGCAUGGUUCAGUGUGAAAAACUCCGGUGGUAUAAGAUGGACCCGCGUUGGAUUAGCUGGUUGGUGGGGUAACGGCCCACCAAGGCGACGAUCCAUAGCCGGCCUGGGAGGGGGAACGGCCACAUUGGGACUGGGACACGGCCCAGACUCCUACGGGAGGCAGCAGUGGGGAAAAUGGCACAAUGGGGGAAACCCGGAGGCAGCGACGCCGCGUGAAGGAGGAAGUAUCUCGGAAGGUAAACUUCUAUCAGCGGGGAGGAUAAUAACGUAACCGGACUAGGAGGCCCCGGCUAACUACGU